This 3475-nucleotide long non-coding RNA is filed under the name Brassica napus (rape). RNAcentral's name for it is "long non-coding RNA (BNAP_LNC004049)". Lineage: Eukaryota; Viridiplantae; Streptophyta; Magnoliopsida; Brassicales; Brassicaceae. The record is from RNAcentral.
GAUUUCAACUUCAAGAGAGACGACGAGAAUGAAAACCACAUGUUCGGUGUCAAGGAGAUGAAGAAGACGAGCCGGAUCAUCAAUAGGACGGAGUUAUCAAGAUCGCUUCCGGUGAAUGUUCCCGAUAACAUGUUUCGGAGGAGGUACCUCGGGAAAGAGGAGGAUGAAUACUCCGGCGGUGGAGGAGAGAUGGUUCCGCCGCAUGUCAUCGUCGGACGGAGGAUCCAAGGAGGAGAAAUGGCGUUUUCGGUUUGCACAGGUAGUGGAAGAACUCUCAAGGGGAGAGAUCUGAGCCGGGUUCGGAACUCGGUUCUCAAGUUAACCGGUUUUUUGGAGGCUUGAAUUAAACCUAUUACUAGUACUACUACCCGGUUUUGCCAUUUGAUUUAUCUUCCUAUUAUUCUUACAAUUUACGGAAAAAUUUACCAGUGUUGUUUUAUUUUAAGUAAAGCUGGGAAAAAUGUGAAACAAUUAAAAGAAAAAUAUGUUUGCAGAUUCUUUUAAUUUUUUUUAAUUUUCCUCAAUUAUAAAAGAAGACAUCAUCAGAGAAUUUCGUUUUAAUUGUGAGAAGAAAAGAAAGAAAAAUAAUAAUUGUUAUACGUUAAAAUUAAAAGAAAAUCCAAUUUUAGUCAAGUCUCAAGUGUCUUUUGUACUUUAACUGGAAUUAUGGAAGAGUGAUGAAUAUAUCUGAGUUGGAUUUUAUCUUGGACAAAAAGCUGAACUGAAACAGCUGUUCGGUUGUCAUUGAUUGAGAGAGAGAAAGGUACUAGUAGAAAUUAGUUGUGCCACCGGUGAUAUCAAGGAGAGAAAUGCAUUGAAGUUUUCACAAAGUUAAGAGCUUAUUAAGCCUUAUUUAUUAUUGGCCCAUUAACAACCCAUAACCAUUUAGCAAAUUGAAGUUGUUUUUUCCUUGCUCAUUAAAAGUUAUGGGCUGGUCAUGGUUUCCUUGAUAAGACCAACUAGACUUUGAUCCGCGCGCCCGCGCGGGUGUAUAUUUUGAAAAAUAUGUUGAUAUUUGUUUUUCAUCUAAUUAUUAGGAUUUGGAAAAAUGAAUCCGAAGAACAUAACCGAUACCGAUCCAAAAAUAGAGUACCAAACCCGAACAUAAAUUGAUUAAAUAUUCUAAUUAUUCAAAAUUUUGUUAUUUAAAGAACCGAAUCUGAUCCAAACUGAAGUAUUCAGGUACCCGAAUUUAUCUAAAAAUAGAUUUAUAUAAUUAUAUAUAUUAAUUAUUUUUAGAUUUAACGUAUAUAAAUCAUCAAGAAUGAUACUUUUAAACUGGUUUAAAUACUUGAAAAUAUAUGUAGAUAGUCAAAAGUAAAUAUCUGAAAUAGUUUAAGUAUACUCAAAUCACAAAAAAUACUUAAAAUAAUUAUUGAUUCCAUAUCCAAAAUUUUAAAUCAAGCCCAUUGAUAUGUUAAGCUUAGGUAUUCUGACAUAUGUUAUUCAAAUUUAUAUGUAAUAUAUUAUCUUAUUUAUAAAUUUUGAGAAAUUUAAAAUAUAUAAUGAUUUAAAACUUUUAAAAUAAUUCAAAUGGGUUAUCCAAAGCCGAACCAAACCCGCAAAGAUCCGAAUCGAACUCAAACCAAUAUUUAGAAACAUCCUAAUAGGACUGAAAUCUUUGACCCCGAAAAUCCAAAACGCAAACCGAUCAGAACCAAGCCCGUAUGGGUACCCGAAAGCCCAUCCCUAAACUGAAGUAUUCAGGUACCCGAAUUUAUCUAAAAAUAGAUUUAUAUAAUUAUAUAUAUUAAUUAUUUUUAGAUUUAACGUAUAUAAAUCAUCAAGAAUGAUACUUUUAAACUGGUUUAAAUACUUGAAAAUAUAUGUAGAUAGUCAAAAGUAAAUAUCUGAAAUAGUUUAAGUAUACUCAAAUCACAAAAAAUACUUAAAAUAAUUAUUGAUUCCAUAUCCAAAAUUUUAAAUCAAGCCCAUUGAUAUGUUAAGCUUAGGUAUUCUGACAUAUGUUAUUCAAAUUUAUAUGUAAUAUAUUAUCUUAUUUAUAAAUUUUGAGAAAUUUAAAAUAUAUAAUGAUUUAAAACUUUUAAAAUAAUUCAAAUGGGUUAUCCAAAGCCGAACCAAACCCGCAAAGAUCCGAAUCGAACUCAAACCAAUAUUUAGAAACAUCCUAAUAGGACUGAAAUCUUUGACCCCGAAAAUCCAAAACGCAAACCGAUCAGAACCAAGCCCGUAUGGGUACCCGAAAGCCCAUCCCUAGUCAUUAUUAUAUAUGUAUAUUGUCAUCAUAUAAUUAAUCGUAUUUUAUACGUACCAUCAUAUAAGUAAUCAUAUAAUUAAUAGUAUUUUAUACAUACCAUCAUAUAAAUAAUUACAUAUAUUGUAUUUUUAAAACUUAAUAUGAAAUAUAAAAACCAUCAUUUGAGUUGGUAUUUCAAAUUGGGCUUUGUAUUGUAUUUUUCUUAUAUAUAUUGACAACAUUUUUUUAUAAUGGUUAUUGAAAAAUACUUUAGUAAAAAUCCAUUUUUGAAUAUAUGUAUAUUUUUGAAUCAAUUUUUGAUAUAAAUCAACUUUGAAUUAUUAUUUUGAUUUGAAAUAUGUAUAUAAAGUUUAAAUUUUUUUUAUGGUUAGUUUGAAAAAAAAAAGUUUUAGGCAAUUAGAUUGACCCAUUUUGGUAUAUUUUAAAACUGACAUAGAUAGAUAGUUUCUUAUAAUAUGAUGGACUUUCAAUUUUUCUUAAUAACAUAAGCCCAUUACUUUUUUUCUUAAUACUAUUAUCCUUGUUUUCAAACAAAAUUAUUUUUUUUUCAAAAGACUACAAUUCAUGUUUCCAACCACUCCAAUUUUUUUAAUAGUCCUAUUCAAAUCUCCAAACACUCCAAUUUUGUACUUGAGUUUUAAUAAGAUAGAUACAAUUUAGAACCUCCUUUCUAUUUUCUACUCUCAGAUAUAGUUUAAAAAUGCUAUAAUAGAUUAUAUUUCUCAUUUUAUAAUUUUGUAAAAAAUAAGUUUACUCUAGUUCAUUAUUCUAUUUUUCACUCUAAAAUAUAGUAUUAUUGGAGUAUAUCUCAAUCCUAUUAUAAGUUACUCUUUUUUAGAAUGAAAAAAUAAAGUGAAUGAUUUGAGAUGGUCUAAGCCGAAUGAAAACACAGGUGUAACCUAUGUUACCUGGAAUCAAAAGAGGUUACACAAAAUUGAAGGUGCAAAAACAAUUUUUUUUUAAGUUAGGAAGUUGGUACGUGUUGAAAACGUAUAUAUAUAUAUAACCACAUGUUCGGUGUCAAGGAGAUGAAGAAGACGAGCCGGAUCAUCAAUAGGACGGAGUUAUCAAGAUCGCUUCCGGUGAAUGUUCCCGAUAACAUGUUUCGGAGGAGGUACCUCGGGAAAGAGGAGGAUGAAUACUCCGGCGGUGGAGGAGAGAUGGUUCCGCCGCAUGUCAUCGUCGGACGGAGGAUCCAAGGAGGAGAAAUGGCGUUUUCGGUUUGCACAGGUAGUGGAAGAACUCUCAAGGGGAGAG